This 429-nucleotide ribosomal RNA is filed under the name Chloroflexota bacterium. RNAcentral describes it as "Chloroflexi bacterium partial 16S ribosomal RNA". It matches the Rfam family "Bacterial small subunit ribosomal RNA", at positions 355 to 776 of the family's 1533-position model. The record is from RNAcentral. Lineage: Bacteria; Bacillati; Chloroflexota.
UGGGGAAUAUUGCACAAUGGGCGCAAGCCUGAUGCAGCCAUGCCGCGUGUGUGAAGAAGGCCUUCGGGUUGUAAAGCACUUUCAGCGGGGAGGAAGGCGAUAAGGUUAAUAACCUUGUCGAUUGACGUUACCCGCAGAAGAAGCACCGGCUAACUCCGCGCCAGCAGCCGCGGUAAUACGGAGGGUGCAAGCGUUAAUCGGAAUUACUGGGCGUAAAGCGCACGCAGGCGGUCUGUCAAGUCGGAUGUGAACUCCCCGGGCUUAACCUGGGAACUGCAUUCGAAACUGGCAGGCUAGAGUCUUGUAGAGGGGGGUAGAAUACCAGGGGUAGCGGUGAAAUGCGGAGAGAUCUGGAGGAAUACCGGUGGCGAAGGCGGCCCCCUGGACAAAGACUGACGCUCAGGUGGGAAAGAGUGGGGAGCAAACAGG